Molecule: ribosomal RNA, 255 nt
Filed under: uncultured bacterium
Lineage: Bacteria
Description: partial 16S ribosomal RNA
Rfam family: Bacterial small subunit ribosomal RNA
Source: RNAcentral
UACGUAGGGUGCGAGCGUUGUCCGGAAUUAUUGGGCGUAAAGAGCUCGUAGGCGGUGUGUCGCGUCGGCCGUGAAAACCUGCAGCUUAACUGUGGGCUUGCGGUCGAUACGGGCAUCACUGGAGUUCGGCAGGGGAGACUGGAAUUCCUGGUGUAGCGGUGAAAUGCGCAGAUAUCAGGAGGAACACCGGUGGCGAAGGCGGAUCUCUGGGCCAUAACUGACGCUGAGGAGCGAAAGCAUGGGGGAGCGAACAGG